RNAcentral lists this long non-coding RNA (257 nucleotides) under Cavia porcellus (domestic guinea pig). RNAcentral's name for it is "lncRNA (ENSCPOG00000035120.1)". Lineage: Eukaryota; Metazoa; Chordata; Mammalia; Rodentia; Caviidae. The record is from RNAcentral.
CGCGAAGUGAGCGCCUGCUGGGUGCAGAGACCCUGGCCAGCGGCGCCCCGCCCUGCUAGAGCACGUCCCUGGCAAUUGAGGAGCAAGGAGCAGAGCGGCGCCCCGAGCCGGGAUUCCUUCCUUCAACCGGCGAUUUUUGCGCCUCGGAGCCAGGCUCUGCAAGCAGCGCACUUCCUGACCAUCGUGGAGCCGCGGUGCCCGUAGAAGUCCAUUUUCCGAGCUCCCCAAGAGAGACAACCCCAAGGCGAGGUAGGUGG